RNAcentral lists this unclassified non-coding RNA (344 nucleotides) under soil metagenome. RNAcentral's name for it is "partial contains 5.8S ribosomal RNA, internal transcribed spacer 2, and large subunit ribosomal RNA". The stretch from base 1 to 118 matches the Rfam family "5.8S ribosomal RNA", at positions 35 to 154 of the family's 154-position model. The record is from RNAcentral.
GAUGAAGAACGCAGCGAAAUGCGAUACGUAAUGUGAAUUGCAAAUUCAGUGAAUCAUCGAGUCUUUGAACGCACAUUGCGCCCCCUGGUAUUCCGGGGGCAUGCCUGUCCGAGCGUCAUUGCUGCCCUCAAGCACGGCUUGUGUGUUGGGCCCCGUCCUCCGAUCCCGGGGGACGGGCCCGAAAGGCAGCGGCGGCACCGCGUCCGGUCCUCGAGCGUAUGGGGCUUUGUCACCCGCUCUGUAGGCCCGGCCGGCGCUUGCCGAUCAACCCAAAUUUUUUAUCCAGGUUGACCUCGGAUCAGGUAGGGAUACCCGCUGAACUUAAGCAUAUCAUAAGCGGAGGA